This 563-nucleotide ribosomal RNA is filed under the name Brocchiosphaera cf. brocchiata. Its description in RNAcentral is "partial 28S ribosormal RNA". It matches the Rfam family "Eukaryotic large subunit ribosomal RNA", at positions 62 to 648 of the family's 3401-position model. The record is from RNAcentral. Lineage: Eukaryota; Fungi; Ascomycota; Sordariomycetes; Pisorisporiales.
AAACCAACAGGGAUUGCCCUAGUAACGGCGAGUGAAGCGGCAACAGCUCAGAUUUGAAAUCUGGUCCUUGGACCCGAAUUGUAAUCUGUAGGGGUGGCUUCGGGCGCGACGUCUUCUGAGUCCCCUGGAACGGGGCGCCAUAGAGGGUGAGAGCCCCGUACGGUCGAUCGUUAAGCCUAUGUGAAGCCCCUUCGACGAGUCGAGUAGUUUGGGAAUGCUGCUCAAAAUGGGAGGUAAAUUUCUUCUAAAGCUAAAUACCGGCCAGAGACCGAUAGCGCACAAGUAGAGUGAUCGAAAGAUGAAAAGCACUUUGAAAAGAGGGUUAAAAAGUACGUGAAAUUGUUGAAAGGGAAGCGCCUGUGACCAGACUUGUGCUCGGCGGUUCCGUAGGCCUUCUGGCCUGCGUUCUCCGCCGGGUUCAGGCCAGCAUCGGUUUUCGUAGGGGGAUAAAAGCGGCGGGAAUGUGGCUCUCUUCGGGGAGUGUUAUAGCCCGUCGUACAAUGCCCUUCUGGGGACCGAGGUUCGCGCUCUGCAAGGAUGCUGGCGUAAUGGUCAUCAGCGAC